CACACACACGCACAUAUAUAUAUAUAUAUAUAUAUAUAAUAAUGUUUGAAUGGUUAAGUUCAGGCUUAUAAUUUUCAAUGAAGAAUGUUUCCUUGUUUAAUCUAAUUAGUGUUGGUGUUCCAAUAGCAUAUUGAUAGAAUGGAAAGAUUAAAAAUUGUGGUAGUUGUUGCUUUGCGCAUUUCUCA
Molecule: long non-coding RNA, 185 nt
Organism: Octopus sinensis (East Asian common octopus)
Lineage: Eukaryota; Metazoa; Mollusca; Cephalopoda; Octopoda; Octopodidae
Exons: 3
Source: RefSeq, a predicted model, not a curated record